CACAACUGGAAAAAGAAGAAAUGAGCACAGAUUCAGUUUUAAAUGGACCCCUUUCCCUCCCAGUAAGGAGAGACAGUGAGAAGUGAGAGACAUCACCAAGAGUAGAGAGCAGGGGCCACACGGGUAAAUCAACAUGCAUGCACGCAUGUGGAUCACCCCUGUGCAUACAAACCCACAAGCACAGUCUGAGCCCCUGCACAGGGUGAGGCUCCAUGCCAGCUGCUAUUAGGACCCCAACAUGCCAUUUUCUCCUGUGGCCUAGAGAAUCCCAGCCCAGAGACAGACACACACAGAACUGAGUCCAGUCCCCUGUGACAACAGACACACAUGUGCACACACUGAGUACACAGGCAAACAGGCAUAGCACUUCUUUCCAGGAAUAAGACUCCUUUCCUUGGUCACAAACACUUAUGCCAGCUCUUGAUGGAACAAGGAUGGGGAGAGACUAUCUCACACAUGUUGCAGGUGGAGAAACUGAAUUUCAGUUGGAAAAAGUGAUUUGCUCAAGAAAUCCUUUAAUACAGCUAUCAAUAAAAGUCUACUGCGAGUCAGAGAAAACUGGUCUAAAUACUAAGAACAAUGGACCACUUGGUAAACACCCUCCAAAGAGACUAUAUUAUCUCAUGAAACGGCAUGAAUGUUGGUAUAAACUUUUUUUUUUGAGACAGAGUCUCACUUUGUCACCCAGGCUGGAGUGCGGUGGCACGAUCUUGGCUCACUGCCACGUCCGCCUCCUUGGGUCAAGUGAUUCUUCUGCCUCAGCCUCCCAAGUAGCUGGGAUUACAGGCACUCGCCACCAUGCUUAGCUAAUUUUUGUAUUUUCAGUAGAGACAACGUUUUGCCAUGUUGGCCAGGCUGGUCUUGAACUCCUGACUUCAGCUGAUCCAUCCACCUCGGCCUCCCAAAGUGCUGGGAUUACAGGCAUGAGCCACUGUGCCUGGCAAGUAUAAGCUUUAAGGAGAACACCAAUCUCCUAUAAAUAAUCAUGCCAGUGCUGUUUAGUGGGCAGGACUGCCAUGAUUAUUUAGUGAGCAUCUACUAUGUGCCAGGCAUGGGGAUGGGCAUUUCUCAGCCAUGAUUCUAAUGAAUUCUCACCACAACCCCUCAGGUGGGUAUUAUCAUCUUUCUUCUUAAAAUAUGAGCAGUGGGGCUCAGAGGGUUAUAUAACUUGAUCACCAUCACACAUCUGGAAAGCAGAUGAUGGGAAGGGUUACAUCUGGUGACACUCAAGGCAUCUGUCUAUUCUAGAAACCUAUGAUUUGAGGAGGAAGAAGAGAUGGGGAGAAAAGAAGGAGAAGGAUAGAGGAGGAAUGGAGAACAAAUGAGAAAGAUGGGCUAUCUCAAGAGCUGGCCACAUGGGAUAUGUGCUCAAAGGAAAGAAGGGGGAAAGGGCACCGAAGGUGUUGAGAUUGGCUUGAAGAAAGGAGGCUGAGGAAAGGGAUUUGAAGUCAGCAGACCUGGGUUCUAGUAUCAAGACACUAACUUGCUCUGCGACUGUCAGCAAAUCUUUUAGCCUCUUUCAGCUUUAUGUUCCUCCUCUUCCACAUGUUAAGACUUUAAUAAAGAAGUCAUGUCUCCCCCCUUGGAUUGUGGUAGGGAGAAGACUGUGUUUUCAAGCUAUAA
Callithrix jacchus (white-tufted-ear marmoset) is the source of this 1623-nucleotide long non-coding RNA. RefSeq lists it as uncharacterized. NCBI's taxonomy places the organism in Eukaryota, Metazoa, Chordata, Mammalia, Primates, Cebidae. The record is from RefSeq and is a predicted model, not a curated record.